GGGUUGCCAUGGGACUGUCAAGGUUCCUUGACAGAUGGACACAAGGCCUGCAAAGUGGCCCUUUCCACACAGCCUUCAAGCCUAGAUGAAGUGAUAGUACCUUGCUGUGGGUCAUUGUGCUCUCCCUGGCAGUUCCUUACAUACUCCCUGAACCACUGUAAAUAGUCCUUCUAUUAAACUCUUCUGAGAUUACCCAAUUGGAGUGCACCGUUUGAUAGAGUAGCCAGUAACAGCCCUAGCAGAGCAGUAGCAGUUGCAGUUAUUUUGAGUAUGAGAUUAAGCAUUAAAUGAAUUGUAAGAUAUGCAAAAUACAUAAUUAAGUAGGAAUAAAUUCUCCCACCUGCAGAAGGCAGCUGAAAUACUUCAGCUACAGACCAUCCCACAUGUCUUAGACCUUUUUAUAACAUCCCUGAGGAAUAGCUCUCUCUUUGAAGAAUAUUCUCUUAUUAGGGUUGCCACAUUUAGAAAACAAUGACAAAAACAAACAGGAAGCCCAGUUAAAUUUGAAUUUCAGAUAAACAAGAAAUAGUUGGUUUUUUUCUUUUUUCUUUUUUUGAGACAGGGUCUCACUCUGUUGCCCAGGCUGGAGUGCAAAGGUGUGAUCUCAGCUCACCGCAGCCUCCACCUCCCAUGUUCAAGCAAUUCUCCUGCCUCAGCCUCCCAGGUAGCUGGGACGACAGGCACACGCCACCACACCCGGCUGAUUUUUUGUAUUUUUAGUAGAGAUGGGGUUUCACUGUGUUAGCCAGGAUGGUAUCAAUCUCCUGACCCCUUGAUCCGCCCACCUCGGCCUCCUAAAGUGCUGGGAUUACAGGCGUGAGCCACUGUGCCCAGCAAUAAAUUGCUUUUUAAAUGCAUGUCACAAAUAUCAAUGCUGUUUAUCUGAAGUGUGUUCAUUGUUUAUCUGAAAUUCAAGUUUAACUAAGUAUCCUGUGAUUUAUUUGGCAACCCUACCUGUCAUAGGAAGAUUUGGACCCUUUCAUUAGUUAUUUCUUAAAUACAUACUUAAGAACACACUUGCCUUUACACUGGAUGGGAAAGUCAGGCUUCAUGAUUGACCAGUAUUUCCCCAUGGAAAAAUAUGUUCCAUAUCAACCUGAGUUCAUAAGUGAUGAGUAUGGAGAAGCCAACCUCUGGGUCACAUUCUAUUCAAGACACAUUGGCCAGGAGUGGUGGCUCAUGCCUAUAAUGCCAGCACUUUGGAAGGGCAAGACAGGAGGACUACUUGAGGGCAGGAAUUCAAGAGCAGCCUGGGCAACAUAACAAGACUCCAUGUCUAAAAAAAAUGUUUUUUAAUUAGUUGGGUGUGGUGCCACAUGCCUGUAGUUCUAGCUACUAGGAAGGCUGAAGCAGGAGGAUUGCUUAAGCCCAAAAAUUCAAGGCUGCAGUGAGCCAUGACAGAGUCACUGCACUCCAGCCUGGGCAACAGAGCCAGACACUGUCUCUAUUUAAAAAAAAAAAACAAAAAAAAAAA
This 1474-nucleotide long non-coding RNA is filed under the name Macaca fascicularis (crab-eating macaque). RNAcentral's name for it is "lncRNA (ENSMFAG00000057136.1)". Lineage: Eukaryota; Metazoa; Chordata; Mammalia; Primates; Cercopithecidae. The record is from RNAcentral.